UACGUAGGUGGCAAGCGUUAUCCGGAAUUAUUGGGCGUAAAGCGCGCGCAGGUGGUUCUUUAAGUCUGAUGUGAAAGCCCCCGGCUCAACCGGGGAGGGUCAUUGGAAACUGGGGAACUUGAGUAUAGAAGAGGAAAGUGGAAUUCCACGUGUAGCGGUGAAAUGCGUAGAUAUCUGGAGGAACACCGGUGGCGAAGGCGGCAUCCUGGACCGGUAUUGACGCUGAGGCGCGAAAGCCAGGGGAGCAAAGCGGG
RNAcentral lists this ribosomal RNA (254 nucleotides) under uncultured bacterium. RNAcentral describes it as "partial 16S ribosomal RNA". It matches the Rfam family "Bacterial small subunit ribosomal RNA", at positions 524 to 777 of the family's 1533-position model. The record is from RNAcentral.